CAGUAGCCGCGGUAAAACGUAGGGUGCAAGCGUUAAUCGGAAUUACUGGGCGUAAAGCGUGCGCAGGCGGUUCUAUAAGACAGAUGUGAAAUCCCCGGGCUCAACCUGGGAACUGCAUUUGUGACUGUAGAGCUGGAGUGCGGCAGAGGGGGAUGGAAUUCCGCGUGUAGCAGUGAAAUGCGUAGAUAUGCGGAGGAACACCGAUGGCGAAGGCAAUCCCCUGGGCCUGCACUGACGCUCAUGCACGAAAGCGUGGGGAGCAAACAGGAUUAGAUACCCCUGUAGUCCCUGUCUCUUAUAC
RNAcentral lists this ribosomal RNA (301 nucleotides) under uncultured bacterium. Its description in RNAcentral is "partial 16S ribosomal RNA". It matches the Rfam family "Bacterial small subunit ribosomal RNA", at positions 509 to 807 of the family's 1533-position model. The record is from RNAcentral.